This 3371-nucleotide ribosomal RNA is filed under the name Cuscuta australis. RNAcentral describes it as "eukaryotic LSU rRNA". The stretch from base 367 to 3371 matches the Rfam family "Eukaryotic large subunit ribosomal RNA". The record is from RNAcentral. Lineage: Eukaryota; Viridiplantae; Streptophyta; Magnoliopsida; Solanales; Convolvulaceae.
ACUCUCGGCAAUGGAUAUCUCGGCUCUUGCAUCGAUGAAGAACGUAGCGAAAUGCGAUACGUGGUGUGAAUUGCAGAAUCCCGCGAACCAUCGAAACUUUGAACGCAAGUUGCGCCUCAAGCCAUUCGGUUGAGGGCACGUAUGCUUGGGUGUCAUGCAUUAUGUCUCCCCUCUCGUGUGUGGAGUGGGAAUAGAUCCUGGCCUCCUGGGCCCUUCCUUGGGCGUGGUUGGCCGAAAAUGUUGUCCUUGAUUUUGUUGAUGUCUUGGUGUGCGGUGGAUGUGCCAGGUGUGCAUAGUUGCCAGCCUUGCUCGGCUUCAUUGUGGCGUCGGGAUCCUAUGAAGCUGCCGGUUUUGGCUCUUUGAUUGCGACCCCAAGUCAGGCGAGACUACCCGCUGAGUUUAAGCAUAUCAAUAAGCGGAGGAGAAGAAACUUACAAGGAUUUCCUUAGUAACGGCGAGUGAAAUGGGAACAGCCCAGCCUUAGAAUCGAAUGGUUUUGCCGUUUGAAUUGUAGUCUGGAGAAGCGUCCUUAGCGGCGGACUGGGCCCAAGUCCCCUGGAAAGGGGCGCCGGAGAGGGUGAGAGCCCCGUCGGGCCUAGACCCUGUCGCACCACGAGGUGCUGUCUUAGAGUCGGGUUGUUUGGGAAUGCAGCCCAAAUUUGGUGGUGAAUUCCGUCCAAGGCUAAAUACAGGUGAGAGCCCGAUAGCGAACAAGUACCGCGAGGGAAAGAUGAAAAGAACUUUGAAAAAAGAGCCAAAGAGUGCUUGAAAUUGUCGAGAGGGAAGCGGAUGGAGACCGGCGAUAGGCCCAGGUUGGAUGUGGAACGGUGGUUAGCCGGUCUGCUGAUAGGCUCUGGGUGUGGAUCAGCGAGAAUUCAGGUGGCGGUUGAAGCUUGGGCAUUUGAUAUGCUAGGGGAAUGCCGUCUCUUGUAUUGUGGGAAGUAGUGCGCGCCCCGCGUGUGCUUCGGCACCUGCGUACUCAGGUCGUUGACUUGUGGGCUCUCCAUUCGACCCGUCUUGAAACACGGACCAAGGAGUCUGACAUGUGUGCGAGUUGGCGAGUGGAAAAACUCGCAAGGCGUAAGGAAGCUGAUUGGCGGGAUCCCUCUUCGGGGUGCACCGUCGACCGACCUCGAUCUUUUGAGAAGGGUUUGAGUGUGAGCAUACCUGUUGGGACCCGAAAGAUGGUGAACUAUGCCUGAGCGGGGUGAAGCCAGAGGAAACUCUGGUGGAAGCCCGCAGCGAUACUGACGUGCAAAUCGUUCGUCUGACUUGGGUAUAGGGGCGAAAGACUAAUCGAACCGUCUAGUAGCUGGUUCCCUCCGAAGUUUCCCUUAGGAUAGCUGGAGCUGGCGUGAGAGUUCUAUCAGGUAAAGCCAAUGAUUAGAGGCAUUGGGGGUGCAAUGCCCUCGACCUAUUCUCAAACUUUAAAUAGGUAGGAGGGUGCGGCUGCUUUGUUGAGCCGUGCCACCGAAUCAACAGCUCCAAGUGGGCCAUUUUGGUAAGCAGAACUGGCGAUGCGGGAUGAACCGGAAGCCGGGUUACGGUGCCAAACUGUGCGCUAACCUAGAUCCCACAAAGGGUGUGGUCGAUUAAGACAGCAGGACGGUGGUCAUGGAAGUCGAAAUCCGCUAAGGAGUGUGUAACAACUCACCUGCCGAAUCAACUAGCCCCGAAAAUGGAUGGCGCUAAAGCGUGCGGCCUAUACUCGGCCGUGGGGCAAGAGCCAAGCCCCAAUGAGUAGGAGGGCGCGGCGGUUGCUGCAAAACCUCGGGCGUGAGUCUGGGUGGAGCGGCCGUCGGUGCAGAUCUGGUGGUAGUAGCAAAUAUUCAAAUGAGAACUUGAAGGUUGAAGAGGGGAAAGGUUCCAUGUGAACGGCACUUGCACAUGGGUUAGUCGAUCCUAAGGGUCGGGGGAACCCUGACAGACAGCGCGUUCGGCGCGUGCACCGAAAGGGAAUCGGGUUAAAAUCCUGAACCGGGAUGUGGCGGUGACGGCAACGUAGGGAUUCCGGAGAUGUCGGCGGGGGCCCGGGAAGAGUGAUCUUUCUGUUAACAACCGCCCACCCGGAAACGGCUCAGCAGGAGGUAGGGCCAGCGGUGGAAGAGCAUCGCACUCGCGUGGGUCCGGGCGCCCCCGGCGGCCCUGAAAAGCGGAGGACCGAGUGCCGCCACGCCCGGCGACGCAUAACCGCAUCAGGCCCAAGGGAACAGCCUCGGCCAAGGAACAAUGAGGCAAGGGAAGUCGGCAAAAUGGAUCCGAACUUCGGGAAAAGGAUGGCCUGAGGGGGGCACGGGGGCCCAGUCUGAGCCCUGGGUGGGCGGACGCUGAGCUGCGCGCGGGCGAGAGCGGGUCGCGCGUGCCUUCGGGGGAUGGAUGGGAAUGGUCCUCUGGGGGCCGCCUCGGGCACGGGACAACCAACUCAGAACGGUACGGACAAGGGAAGCCGACGGUUAAGAAAACAAAGCAUUGCGAGGGCCCGCGGAUGUAACGCAAGGAUUGCUGCCCAGUGCGCUGAAGGCAAAGUGAAGAAAUCAACCAAGCGCGGGUAAACGGCGGGAGAACUAUGACUCGCUAAGGUAGCCAAAGCCGCGUCAGCUAAUAGUGACGCGCAUGAAGGAUAACGAGAGGCCCACGUCCCGGCGACUAGCCAGCGAAACCACAGCCAAGGGAACGGCGGGCAGAAGCAGCGGGGAAAGAAGACCCGGUGAGCGGACGCGAGGCGACGGGGAAAGACGGAGAGGGAGAGAAGGGGAGCGAAAGGCGAAAGGAAAACCACACUGCAACGGAGUGACGUACGCCGGAAGCGGAGACGGGAGGCCCCUCGGUGGAACCAAGGACCGCGGCGAGCGAGCCGGCGGAAGACAGGGCAGGGGGGAGUGGCGGGGCGGCACAGCGUGAAAAGAGAACGCAGGGGCCGAAGAGAGCGCAACGAGAACAGAAAGCGCGGGGGAACAGAAGGGAAAAGCGCGGGGAGGCGGAGGCCAGACGAAGACGAACCGGAAAGCGGGCCGAACGAGCCGGAGACCGCGGAAGCGAAGCGAGAGGGCAGAAAAGGACCACAGGGAGAACGGCGGGGGCAGCCAAGCGGCAGAGCGACGGGGCGGGGAGCCGCGAGGGCGGCGCGGCCGAGCAGGGGAAGCAGAAGGCACCAAGGGGGAGGGGCACCCACCAAGAGGGAACGGAGCGGGGGGAGACCGGCGGGAGACAGGGAGGGACCCGACGGAGGGGGGGGGAGAGGAAGCAACCCAGGACGAGAGGAACCGGGAGGCGCACAAGGGGCAGCGCGGGGGGGAAAAGCCAGGGGCGCGAAGCGACCGGGCGGGGAGGAGGACGGAACGCCGCGAAGGCAGAAGCCGGCGAGAGCGAGG